AUGGUUCAUUACAAUAAUAGACACCAACACAGGAUCUCAACUGUGCCACUGUGACAUUUUGUUUUGAAUCGGAGAGAAUAACGCCUUAGCAGGUGCUGGCUGAUGAUGGCAGUGGCACGCCCUCAUGAAACCAUUAUCACGCUCUCAGGUAUAUUAUAUCAAUUACAGGAGUAAAACAGGAUGGAAGCAGCUGUGGAGAUUCAGAGCUUGCAGGGCUUCUUCGGCAAGCAAUAUUAAUCCAAUCAUAUAAAAUGUAUCCAGCACCAAUAUGGUCUCCGACACUAUAUUAUAUGUCUCUGUCUCUCUUGCAUUCUGGGG
Molecule: long non-coding RNA, 318 nt
Filed under: Populus trichocarpa (black cottonwood)
Lineage: Eukaryota; Viridiplantae; Streptophyta; Magnoliopsida; Malpighiales; Salicaceae
Description: long non-coding RNA (PTRI_LNC001007)
Source: RNAcentral